GAGAAAGUAAGACAGCUGGGGGAGGGAGAGAGGAUUUUGGAACUGGGAGGAACUGAAGGAAAUUAAUCUGGGGGAUAUAGAGUGUUGAGGAGAGAAGUAGAUGAAACUGGAAAGAGGAAGAUGAAGCUGGAAAGGAAAGAGGGAGCUGGAGACGAAAAAACGGGAGCUGGGGUGAGAGAGUGAUGGAGCUGGGGAUAGGAGCUUGGUAAGAUAAAGAUAAGCUUAC
Molecule: non-coding RNA, 226 nt
Organism: Pelobates cultripes (western spadefoot toad)
Lineage: Eukaryota; Metazoa; Chordata; Amphibia; Anura; Pelobatidae
Source: the annotation of a GenBank genome assembly